RNAcentral lists this ribosomal RNA (406 nucleotides) under uncultured bacterium. RNAcentral describes it as "partial 16S ribosomal RNA". It matches the Rfam family "Bacterial small subunit ribosomal RNA", at positions 30 to 526 of the family's 1533-position model. The record is from RNAcentral.
AUUGAACGCUGGCGGCAGGCCUAACACAUGCAAGUCGAACGAGUGGCGGACGGGUGAGUAAUGUCUGGGAAACUGCCUGAUGGAGGGGGAUAACUACUGGAAACGGUAGCUAAUACCGCAUACCAUCAGAUGUGCCUAGAGGGGAUUAGCUAGUUGGUGGGGUAAAGGCCUACCAAGGCGACGAUCCGUAACUGGUCUGAGAGGAUGAUCAGCCACACUGGAACUGAGACACGGUCCAGACUCCUACGGGAGGCAGCAGUGGGGAAUAUUGCACAAUGGGCGAAAGCCUGAUCCAGCCAUGCCGCGUGUGUGAAGAAGGUCUUCGGGUUGUAAAGCACUUUCAGUGGGGAGGCGUUACCAACAGAAGAAGCACCGGCUAACUCCGUGCCAGCCGCCGCGGUAAUUC